UUCCGGCGGGGAGCGCGGCGCGUGGGUCGGAAGCGCCGCGGCGGUGGCGGAGCGGAAAAUGGCGACGGCCGCGCAGCUCACGGAUGAGGAGCUCUUCUCGGAGCUGAGGCGUUUCGGCUUUUCCCCGGGGCCGGUCACCGAGAGCACCCGGCCCGUCUACCUGAAGAAGCUGAAGAAGCUGCGCGAGGAUGAGCGGGCCGGAGCCCGCGGCGGCGGCGCCAACAAGACCCGGAACAGCAACAACAAUAACACGGGGGCCGGAGCGGCGCCGGGCGGAGGCGGCGGCCGCGGGCGGGCGGCCACGGGAACGCGGCUGGCCGGCGCCGAACACCCCUUCCUCCCCGGGGCUGCCGCCGGGGGCGGCCGGGGCCGCGCCGCACCCCCCGCCGGCGGUGGCAAAGUGCUGCUGGGCUUCAGCUCGGACGAGUCGGACGCGGAGAGCAGCCCCCGGGGCCAGGCCGGCGGCAGGAGGGAGCGCGCUGCGCCCCUGUUCCGCGGCCUCAGGCCCGCCACCCCCCACGGCGUGAGCAGCAACUCCCCCCCGGAGGAGGCGGCCCGGCGGAAGCCCAGCUCCUGGUGGGGGGCAGCGGCCAGGAGACCGGCGGCGACUCAGGGCGUGAGGGAGCUCGGGGGCGGCGAGGAGGAGGGAGGAGAGGAGGAGGACGACGAAGACGAGAAGGAGGAGGAGAGCGAGCAACAGCGGUGGAAGAACCGGACCGUGAACGGGAACCGGCUCCUCUCCUACGGCGGCAGCAGGGACAAGUAUUCGGACUCGGAGGAGGAGGAGGCGGCGGGGGCGAGGGCCAAGCAGCAGGGACCGAAGGAGGAGUCUGCAGUUCGCCGGCCCAGACGGAGCCUCAGCAAGUCGCCUGCUCCAUUCAUAACAAGCAAAUGCGCUGCAGCCGGCGCUGGCGUGAUGGAGACGGGCCAAGAAAGGGCUGGCGGAGGCUGCGGUGCUGGUGUGCUCGUAACGAAUGACAGGGCGGCGGGGGCGGCUGCUGCCGGCAGUCUAGACAGGGGCAGAAACGAGGAGGAGGAGAAUGAGGCGGCAGCGGAGGGAAGAGGAGGAUGUGAAAAUCUGGACUCUAGUCCUCCCAGCCCCAGAUACCGCCUAUCCAAGAAAUCCCCAUCAGUAUUGUUGCUGCCACCACCGCUCACGGACGUGGACAGCGGUAAAAUCACUGACCCCGCAGGCACCAUUAGGAAAGCGACCAAUAAUCAUGUUCUCAGCGGUGCUCCUGGUAGCUAUAAUGUUGAAUCCAAGAUCUAUUCAGCUACUAAUAGCCUUCCCCCGAGUGGAACCACCUCCUCCCUUAGACUCAACCACUCCAAUCAUACGGGUUCAAAUCAUACCUACCUGAAAAACGCCUACAAGAAGAAUCUCUCUGAGCCCGAGGAGGAGCUUCUCCAGCAGUUCAAAAGAGAGGAGGUAUCCACCACUGGAGGCUUCAGUGCACAUUACCUGUCCAUGUUCCUCUUAACUGCUGCAUGCUUGUUCUUUCUGAUACUGGGAUUCACAUACCUGAGAAUGAGAGGUUCUGGAGUAGCUGAGGAUGUGGGAGCCAACAUCAAGAAUCCUUUUAGUGAAGAACUACAGAAAAUACAAGAACCUGAAAGAAACCUCAUGAAGAGCUUGUAUGCGCUUCAUGACAAAUUGGCACAAGUAGCAGGGGAACAUGAAUGUGGCAGCUCUGUUCAAAGAAACCUUACCGUCCAGGAGGCAGCUGCAUAUUUAAAAAAUUUAGAUCCAGAAUAUGAAAGUGUACUUAACAAAGCAUUACAAUGGAUCUUGAAUAGUGGGGAAGAUGUUGGCAUAAAGUGUCUCAGCAAUGACCCUAAUGAGAUGAAUGUCACUAACGUGACAGAUGUGAAGUAUCUGGAAUCCACUAGUCCAAAGAUGUCUUUCAGGUGUCGUUUUCGCCGUGCGUUUGUUAAUGUAACUCACAGAUUAUCAAUAUUGCUCCUGGGUAUAGUGAUGGUUUGGGGAGUCUUACACUACAUGAAGUACCGUUGGGCAAAAGAGGAAGAAGAAACGAAGCAGAUGUAUGAUAUGGUGGUAAAAAUCAUAGAUGUUCUAAGAAGCCACAGUGAGGCAUGUUCAGAAAAUAAAGAGUUGCAGCCUUACAUGCCAGUUUUACAUGUGCGUGAUUCUCUAAUACCUCCUCAGGACAGGAGGAAAAUGAAUAAAGUCUGGAAUCGAGCAGUUGACUUUCUUGCAGCAAAUGAAUCUAGAGUUCGCACAGAGACACGAAGAAUAGGUGGUGCCGAGUUCUUGGUUUGGAAGUGGAUGCAACCUUCUGCAGCAUGUGACAAAAUUUUAGUAAUACCAUCAAAAGUGUGGCAAGGCCAAGGUCCAGGUCCAUGACUAGGCCACCCCAGAUCACCUUCUCCACUAUGGUGUGGUGCCCCAGUGUACAAUAUGCUGGUGACAUUUCACCCCCCCCCUUGAUCUGCUGGAGCCAAACUACAUGAGUAAGCAUUUCAUUUAGAUAGAAGAAACUCACCACCGAACAGCUUGACACCAUGUCUAAAGAUUCGCAAUAUGUUUGAUCCAGUUAUGGAAAUAGGUGAUCACUGGCAUCUAGCAAUUCAAGAAGCAAUCUUGGAGAAAUGCAGCGAUAAUGAUGGAAUUGUUCAUAUUGCUGUUGACAAAAAUUCACGUGAGGGCUGUGUAUAUGUCAAGUGUCUCUCUCCGGAGUAUGCUGGAAAGGCUUUCAAGGCAUUACAUGGCUCUUGGUUUGAUGGAAAGCUGGUAACAGUAAAAUACCUGCGACUAGAUCGGUAUCAUCAUCGUUUUCCCCAGGCUCUUACUUGUAACACUCCACUGAAGCCAUCAAACAAACACAUGAACUCUAUGUCACAUCUGCGUCUUCGGACAGGCACAACUAAUUCUCAGGGAAGUUCCUGAGAAGACUUUCUACAACUGCUAGGACUGUUACUUGCAACAGGAAUUUUCCUGUUUGGCUGCCGUCUUCCUUUUUUAGUGCUUUUUGUAUGUAAUACUUCAAUGAAUUAAAUAAAAGUUUGAACGUUCCAGAAA
Lepidothrix coronata (blue-crowned manakin) is the source of this 3040-nucleotide RNA transcript. It is a transcript of the gene named LEM domain containing 3, with no coding region annotated. The record is from RefSeq and is a predicted model, not a curated record. NCBI's taxonomy places the organism in Eukaryota, Metazoa, Chordata, Aves, Passeriformes, Pipridae. The transcript is spliced from 14 exons.